Molecule: non-coding RNA, 341 nt
Organism: Pelobates cultripes (western spadefoot toad)
Lineage: Eukaryota; Metazoa; Chordata; Amphibia; Anura; Pelobatidae
Source: the annotation of a GenBank genome assembly
CACAGGUCAGAGUAUUUUGGCGGUUGCCAUCUUCAAACGGCCGUAUUUUAAAAACUAUAAACCCUACAGCGAAGAGCUUUAUAUUGUGAGAAUCACAAGACCCAGACCUACAUGCAUAGUAUGUCUCUGAAGUAUUAAAAAUGAAGGCACAGUCGCAGUUUAGAAAUUGCCCUUCAAAUUUAAGCUGGCUGGAGUGGAGUUUCAAUGAAUGUCAAUGGACGGCGUGAGUUGCAAACAAAUGGUCAUAUUGUGAAAACUAUCAGGACUAUGGCUUAGCCGUGGACAUGUUUAGUGGCAGCAGGGAUAGCUGAACGUUUUGAUAUAAGAUUUGUGUAGGUGGG